AGAGUUUGAUCCUGGCUCAGGACGAACGCUGGCGGCGUGCCUAAUACAUGCAAGUCGAGCGGACUUAAAAAGCUUGCUUUUUAAGUUAGCGGCGGACGGGUGAGUAACACGUGGGCAACCUGCCUGUAAGACUGGGAUAACUUCGGGAAACCGGAGCUAAUACCGGAUAAUCCUUUUCUACUCAUGUAGAAAAGCUGAAAGACGGUUUACGCUGUCACUUACAGAUGGGCCCGCGGCGCAUUAGCUAGUUGGUGAGGUAACGGCUCACCAAGGCGACGAUGCGUAGCCGACCUGAGAGGGUGAUCGGCCACACUGGGACUGAGACACGGCCCAGACUCCUACGGGAGGCAGCAGUAGGGAAUCUUCCGCAAUGGACGAAAGUCUGACGGAGCAACGCCGCGUGAGUGAUGAAGGUUUUCGGAUCGUAAAACUCUGUUGUUAGGGAAGAACAAGUACGAGAGUAACUGCUCGUACCUUGACGGUACCUAACCAGAAAGCCACGGCUAACUACGUGCCAGCAGCCGCGGUAAUACGUAGGUGGCAAGCGUUGUCCGGAAUUAUUGGGCGUAAAGCGCGCGCAGGCGGUCCUUUAAGUCUGAUGUGAAAGCCCACGGCUCAACCGUGGAGGGUCAUUGGAAACUGGGGGGCUUGAGUGCAGAAGAGAAGAGUGGAAUUCCACGUGUAGCGGUGAAAUGCGUAGAGAUGUGGAGGAACACCAGUGGCGAAGCGACUCUUUGGUCUGUAACUGACGCUGAGCGCGAAGCGUGGGGAGCAAACAGGAUUAGAUACCCUGUAGUCCACGCCGUAA
Molecule: ribosomal RNA, 808 nt
Filed under: uncultured Bacillus sp.
Lineage: Bacteria; Bacillati; Bacillota; Bacilli; Caryophanales; Bacillaceae
Description: bacterial SSU rRNA
Rfam family: Bacterial small subunit ribosomal RNA
Source: RNAcentral